CGGCGGACGGGUGAGUAACGCGUGGGUAACCUGCCUCAUACAGGGGGAUAACAGUUGGAAACGGCUGCUAAUACCGCAUAAGCGCACAGUACCGCAUGGUACCGUGUGAAAAACUCCGGUGGUAUGAGAUGGACCCGCGUCUGAUUAGCUAGUUGGUGGGGUAACGGCCUACCAAGGCGACGAUCAGUAGCCGACCUGAGAGGGUGACCGGCCACAUUGGGACCGAGACACGGCCCAA
This 238-nucleotide ribosomal RNA is filed under the name uncultured bacterium. Its description in RNAcentral is "partial 16S ribosomal RNA". It matches the Rfam family "Bacterial small subunit ribosomal RNA", at positions 96 to 334 of the family's 1533-position model. The record is from RNAcentral.